RNAcentral lists this unclassified non-coding RNA (166 nucleotides) under uncultured Sordariomycetes. RNAcentral's name for it is "sequence contains ITS1". Lineage: Eukaryota; Fungi; Ascomycota; Sordariomycetes. The record is from RNAcentral.
CAGAGUUGCAAAACUCCCUAAACCAUCGCGAACGUUACCUUUACCGUUGCUUCGGCGGGGGGCUCCAGGGCGGAGCCGCAGCCCUCACGGGCGCCCGCCGGCGGCACUACAAACUCUUGUAUUUCUUACUUUGCAUGUCUGAGUGGAAUCAUAAACAAAUGAAUCA